AAGUCGUAACAAGGUUUCCGUAGGUGAACCUGCGGAAGGAUCAUUACAAAUCCAUCCACGUCUCUUUGAGACCACGUUGAAAUGUUCCCCAGACCAGGAGGGUCUCUCUUGCCUUUCGGGCCGCCUCGGCGCGCCUGCCUGGGAGAGGUCCCCCCUGGCCUGGGCUGUGAAACGAGUGUUACUUUGUUGCCCAAAUGUAUCUUGAUUUCCAUCAAACGAAAACUUGUACAACUUAUAACAAUGGAUCUCUAGGCUCUU
This 258-nucleotide unclassified non-coding RNA is filed under the name fungal sp. RNAcentral describes it as "partial internal transcribed spacer region". The stretch from base 1 to 46 matches the Rfam family "Eukaryotic small subunit ribosomal RNA", at positions 1786 to 1831 of the family's 1831-position model. The record is from RNAcentral. Lineage: Eukaryota; Fungi.